RNAcentral lists this ribosomal RNA (246 nucleotides) under uncultured bacterium. RNAcentral's name for it is "partial 16S ribosomal RNA". It matches the Rfam family "Bacterial small subunit ribosomal RNA", at positions 15 to 244 of the family's 1533-position model. The record is from RNAcentral.
GAUCAUGGCUCAGGAUGAACGCUGGCGGCGUGCUUAACACAUGCAAGUCGAACGGGAAACCUUUUAUUGAAGCUUCGGCAGAUCUAGCUGGUUUCUAGUGGCGGACGGGUGAGUAACGCGUGGGUAACCUGCCUUAUACAGGGGGAUAACAACCAGAAAUGGUUGCUAAUACCGCAUAAGCGCACAGGACCGCAUGGUCUGGUGUGAAAAACUCCGGUGGUAUAAGAUGGACCCGCGUUGGAUUAG